Molecule: long non-coding RNA, 656 nt
Organism: Pan troglodytes (chimpanzee)
Lineage: Eukaryota; Metazoa; Chordata; Mammalia; Primates; Hominidae
Exons: 4
Source: RefSeq, a predicted model, not a curated record
UUAAGAACAUCAGAACCCAUCGGUCAACCUCCAGGGAGGCACCCCUCUCCCUGGUUGCUUAGGGCCGAAAACCCCGACCCUCAUGUUUUUAAAGAGAAUUGGAAUCCUAUGUGAAUAAGGUGGGAAAACUGGAAAGAUUGAAUGUCCUUUGGAGUUCACAGAGGUUUGGCAGUGGGAGGAGAAAAACAAAACGAAGCAUAGUGGGAGUGUUGAACAGACUUUCCCAAGAUCCCCAGGGAAAUCAACAAAGAGUAUUGCUUUCUUGCAAAUUGGAAGGAAGGUUUCCAGCAUAAUGAAAGAGUGCAGAAAAAACAAGUUAAUUCAAGGAUAAAACUGUGAAUAAGUAGAAGAGAAGACUACACCAGGAAAAGAGACGGAGAUAGAGGCCCAAUGGAGAAAAGCAAAGCUACUACAAGAACUCACUACAUCAAUGCGUGUUCAUUAUUGAGACCAUCCUAGGAGAGCGUGCAUCAUCACAGGCUGCUCUGAGGUCUGUGCCCAAUCAAGCAAAGAACAACGGGGAUAAUCACACUGUGCAGAGGGUGACCAAUUUAGAAAAAAAGGACCCUUAAGAAGAUCUUCCAACUUCCUUAAAUGACUUUCAUUAAUUUUACACCUUUUGCCAAUUAAUUGCACUUAUGAGCCUUCCUUGUCAA